UGAAUACGAGACGCUAAGGCGUCGAAGUAGUGUAUGUCAUACUUCCAAGAAAAGCUUGCACUGUCAUAGAUAAAAAACGCCUGUACCAUAACCGACACAGGUGGGUAGGUAGAGUAUACUAAGGGGCGCGAGAUAACUCUCUCUAAGGAACUCGGCAAAAUAACUCCGUAACUUCGGGAGAAGGAGUGCCUUAUUCGUAAGGUUGCAAUAACAAGAUCCAAGCAACUGUUUAUCAAAAACACAGGUCUCCGCUAAGUCGUAAGACGAUGUAUGGGGGCUGACGCCUGCCCAGUGCCAGAAGGUUAAAGAAGUUGGUUAGCAAUUGCGAAGCUGAUAACUGAAGCCCUGGUGAACGGCGGCCGUAACAAUAACGGUCCUAAGGUAGCGAAAUUCCUUGUCGGGUAAGUUCCGACCCGCACGAAAGGCGUAAUGAUUUGGAUACUGUCUCGGAGAGGGGCUCGGUGAAAUAGACUUGUCUGUGAAGAUGCGGACUACCUGCACCAGGACAGAAAGACCCUAUGAAGCUUUACUGUAACUUGAAAUUGAAAUUGGACUUUAUUCGCGCAGCAUAGGUGGGAGGCGUUGAUUAUAAUCUUGCGGGAUUAUUGGAGCCAUCAGUGAGAUACCACUCUUGUAAUGUUAGAUUUCUAACUUUGAAUCAUUAUCUGGUCAAAGAACAGUUUCAGGCGGGCAGUUUGACUGGGGCGGUCGCCUCCUAAACGGUAACGGAGGCGUACAAAGGUUUCCUCUGAACGGUUAGAAAUCGUAUCUAGAGUGUAAAGGCAUAAGGAAGCUUGACUGUGAGACCUACAAGUCGAGCAGGGACGAAAGUCGGUCUUAGUGAUCUGACGGUACUGAGUGGAAAGGCCGUCACUCAACGGAUAAAAGUUACUCUAGGAUAACAGGCUGAUCUCCCCCAAGAGUUCACAUCGACGGGGAGGUUUGGCACCUCGAUGUCGGCUCAUCGCAUCCUGGGGCGGUAGUACGUCCCAAGGGUUGGGCUGUUCGCCCAUGAAAGUGGUACGCGAGCUGGGUUCAGAACGUCGUGAGACAGUUCGGUCCAUAUCCGGUGUAGGCGUUAGAAUAUUGAGAGGAGCCUUCUUUAGUACGAGAGGACCGAGAAGGACAUACCUCUGGUGUACCAGUUAUCGUGCCAACGGUAAACGCUGGGUAGCUAUGUAUGGAGUGGAUAACCGCUGAAAGCAUCUAAGUGGGAAGCCCACCUCAAGAUAAGUAUUCUCAC
Molecule: ribosomal RNA, 1243 nt
Filed under: metagenome
Description: bacterial LSU rRNA
Rfam family: Bacterial large subunit ribosomal RNA
Source: RNAcentral